GCGCCAUCUUCAAAGGUCAGGGUGUGGAGCGUAUUAUGUUCGGCACCAUGUUCAGAAGGUCGGGGGUGCUCCGGAUUGAUAAUGGCUAACGUCAUCUAGAAGAGGGAAGAAGGUAACAGACGCCAGGAUUGGCGCCAUCUUGAGAAGGGCGAAAUUUGACAUUCUGAGCAACGGACGCCAUCUUGAAUGGGGCAGAUGGAUGGAGGACGGCAAUGGUGCCAUCAUGGGAAGGGCGGAGUGAAGGAAAGCGUCUUCGCAGUGUAAAAGCGAUCCUGCAUCUGGCUCAUCAUCAUCUGACUUCCAUUUCUUGGGGCCUGAACCAGCAUUCUGCCGUACUGCCUGCUGUUCUUGGAUUUGUCAGCCCCUGCAGCAAUGUGAGUCAGAAGAAGCCUCCAGCCUGACGUCUGACCCACAGACUUGGGACUUGCCAGCCUCUACAUCUCUGAGCUUCUCAGUGCAGAGAUCCCGGGUCCGAAGGACGUGCUCCACUCCUGAUUGUUCUUCCUUGGUAGUGGUGAGAUCCUCCUUCUGCUAUGGAUUUAAGCCUAGCAGGAUGGCAGAACUGACCAAUCCCCUUGGUGAGCCACAAUUACCUUAUUUGCACAGUCCCGCCCAAUCACUUGGGUAGGAGUUAUAAGACCAUGGCGAGAAAAGCCACAUAAAGACAAUCCAUCACACUGCAGGGACUUUGCAGAUGUGAUUAAAUGGAGCAUCUUGGAUAGAUUAUCCUGGAUUACCAGUGAGCCCAAUGUAAACACAAGAAUCCUUACAAGAACGAGGCAGGAGAAUGAAAGUUGGUGAGAGAGAAGAUGCCACUUGCUGGCUUUGAAGAGGGAGGAUGGGCCUAUGAACCAAGAAAUGCAGGCAGCCUCUAGAAGCUAAAAAGACAAGGAAAUGGAUUAUCACUGGAGCCCCAGAAGGAACACGGCACUGUUGGCGCUUGAUUUUAGCCUUGUAAGGCUCAUUUCAGACUUCCGACCUCCAGGACCUUAGGAGAAUAAAUUUGUAUUGUUUUUAAGCUGCUAAGCAUGUGGUAUUUUUUUACAGUAGCAAUAGGAAACUAAGACCAUGGUAUUAACUGAGCAAUAAUAACUUACUAUAGGUCAGGCAUGUGUUGAACUCUUUACAGGGAUUAUCUCAUUUAAUCCUUGAAGGAAUCCCAGAGGUGGGAGCUAUUGUCCCCAUUGUACAGGUGAGCAAAAGGAGCCCCAAGAUAUGAAAUGACAAAUCAAAGGUCACUUGGAGCCUAGAGUCAAAGAACAACUCAAAGACAUUGAGUUAAUUAUUUGCACACUAUUUACUGGUAAAGAGGUGAACCCAUAGAUUGAUUUCAUCUAAGAAAGGCGAGAAGGAGAUUUUUAUAAAAGACAAAAGGAGAGGGAAGAAGGAAAAACUGCAGACAGCUUGGAAACCAUGAACUUUGAGUUUUUUUCCUGGCCAGCCACUGGCGAUGAGUUCAGUCAGGGUGCUCUGACCUUGGGCAGCUAGAAGGAAAAAAAAAAAAGUAAUUUCAGAUGUUUAUGGAUGCCCCGGAAGACCUUGAGAGUUUAGCUUUCUCUGCGUAAUGCCUUUCUGGGUCCUUUGUUGUUGUCUCCAUCUUAGGUUAGUUAUGCCGGGUCUGUACCUUUAUCUUUAUCAGAAGUUCUCACUGGAGUAGCAUCAACUGAUUGUAAUUCCUUUCCAGGAGCGAUUUAAAUAACUAGGCACAAACCAGUGAGCUUCCAUUUAUUCCCCCCAGCAGCUUGCACACAGCAAGGUCUGGAGAAACACAGCUUAACCUUGGAUUGAGUGGGUGCCCUCUUGGCCCGUGAACAGUUUUUUUCCACUUAUCUUAUUUCUCCUCUCACUUUUUUCUUCCUUUGAUACUUUCCAAGUGUCUAGGCCUAUCUGGAGUUGUCUUCCUCUACGAAGAACAAGGAGUCCCUGGGUGGUCCAAGUGGUUAAUAUACUCAGCUGCUAAGCAGAAGGUUGGUGGUUCAAGUUCACCCAGAGGCACCUCAGAAGAGAGGUCUGGCGAUCUACCGUAUUUCUAUGGAAAUAACCCACGCCUUCUACAUUUGUUUGCCAACUAUGCCCUCCCCCGUGAGGUAUUUUCAUAAGCAUGCUAUGCUAAUUUUUUUACAGCAACAUGUAAAAAAAAAACUUGGCACAAUGGCACUUAUGAAAAUACCUCGCAGAAAGAGGGUGCAGUUGGCAAACAAACGUAGAAGGUGCACGUUAUCUAUGUAAAAAUACGGUACUUCUGAAAACUCAGCCGUUGAAAACCCUAUGGAGCACAGUUCAACUCUAACACACAUGGGGUUGCCAUGAAUUGAAAUUGACUCAAUGGCAACUGGUUUUUACCAAGAACAAAAAUUGAGACCACAGCCCAGUAUGUUCUUUACCAGGCCACACUCUCUUCCUAGGGUGUCAUCUUCUAAACCGAAUCUCAGGCCACGGAGUCUCACACACGGACCUUGCUUGGCUGUAGAAGAAAGGGGAGAUCAAGGACCACCCUAGUUUGGUGAAAACAGCACAGAAUUGCUUCCGAGGAGACAGGGACUCUUGUCCUAGCUUCGCACCUUUUGUUACCCCGAGCGUGUCCCACACCUCUCUGAGCCUCAGUUGGGUGCACAGGAUGUUUGUGAUAAAGAGUGUGGAAAUGGUUUGUGAGCUGAAAAGUGCUGUGCGCGCAUCGCUCGUGGUAUACAGAAGUUGUGCUCAGUGCCACAUUUCCCACAGCAGGAGGCAGACACAUAACGACACAUCUGUGCUAUGACACUGCAUAUUUUGCAGAGUUUUGAGUGCUGGUGUGUCCCCACCCCUGCUGGGUCCCAAGGGAGUGGGGCUGGGUGGGAGAUGGAUUAUCUCCUUCCUUCUCUUAUUGGGUUUUAAUUGUCUGUCAAAUCUCCUAGGUGUCUUUGAAGAUAAAGGGAGGGGAGGGGAGACCCUCCUAAACAGACUAAUUAUUUCCCUUGUGACCACAGCCACCAAGCCUUGCUCUCGUUUUUGAAAGGGAGGCCUGCAGUCAUUUUCCCAACAUGAUAGCUCAUAGCAACAUGAUUGCAGCCUGUACAAUGUGCUGAUAUUAUAAUGUUUUAAUCGGUGUUAAGUCAAGGGCUUUAAUUUCUUCCAGGCCUCCGGUUGGCAGCACGUGAAUGAAUUUUCCACACAUCCUGUUUCCUCAGACUAAACCCGUGCCUCUUCCUCAUGUGUCCAGCCCACAGUGGCUUAACCUUUGCUCCAUCUCCAGCUCCACUGUCUCUAAUAAUAAAUUACUCAGCAGUGGAUGAAUUAGCUGAGUCUAAUGUGUGGAAAAAGAUUAGGUUGGACCUGAGAAAAUUAGGUUCUAAGCGAGGGCACAGGAUGAGGUAUAAAAAUAGUGAGACUCUUGCCCUGGAUGACAAAGAAGCUAACUUUUUUUGAGUGUCAGGCAUGAAAUCCAUUAUUGGCAUUAUCUCCUUGAAUCACCACAACAGCCUCACGGCUAGGUGCUAUUAUUAUCAUCAUUUUAUAGAUGAGGAAACUGAGACACAGAGAAGGUAAGUAACUUAUCCAGGGUCACACAGCUACUCUUGGCCCCAGGAUUUGAACCCACGUAGCCCGGCUCCAGGACAGGACUCUCACACUGUCCUUCCUCAUUGUAUCUGAGACUAUAUUAGCUUUGCAUUCAUUCACUGAUCCAUUCGUCCAUUCAGCUCUGCUGGGGAGGGAGGGGAUUUUUAUUAUCUUAGGAGCUGCCCCCAGAAUAUUUCUGCAGGAAGGACCUGUUACUAGGACAUUGCAGGCAGACGGGUAAAUGCCAGGAGGCCUGACAGAGCACGGCUGGAACUAGAAAAGGACCGUUUGGUGGCCUGGAGAUCCCAGCCGAGCUUGCAUGUCUGGAGUAACAGGGCAGCGAGUGGGACUUUUCCUGCAGCCCGGGAAUUGGCACUUGAGGCCUCAGCUGAAAAACAAAAGGUGCUAAGAACUCUACCAGCUGGAGGUAACUGCCAACACGUGGACAAAGUGUUGCCACUCCCCUCAACCCAACAGCUUGGUAAGAGGCAGGAGAAGAUGCCUUACCACAUCUAGCCCACCCCAGCCCUAGCAUUUGAACGGAGACAGCUGGGGGUCAGAGUGGGAGCCAUCAAUGUCAUGGGCCAAACUCUGGAAGUGAGGGGCUCCAAAGACUGAUGACAGAGGCCAAGUCAGGGACCUGGACAAAGCUGGGGUAGGGAGGGGUGUCCCUCAGAGGGUCUUGAAUUUGAGCCCAAGAGGUAGGGAAAAGCAGUGAAACCACGGAGACCGGGGAAGCCAAAGGCACUUGUCCUCUUGGGUUUUUUUGGCUCCAACACCCCAUCUCUGAAAGGAUCAUUCUAAGGCUCUUGAGCCAGAGUCCACAGUGCUGGAUGGGAGGCAAGGACCUGAGGACAAAUGUUGUAUGAUACCACGUACAUGAAAUAUUUAGGAUAGGCAAGUAUACAGAGACCAAAGUUUAUGGGUGAUUACUACGGGCAGGGAGAGGGGGAGGAGGAAGACUCACUGCUUAGGGGACACUGAGCUUCUGUUAAGGGUGAUGGGAAAAUUUGGGAACAGGUAAGGGUAAGGGUUAAACAACAUGAUAAACAUAACUGAUGUCACAGAAUUGUACAUGUGAAGAAUGCUGAAGUGACAAAUGUUUUGUUACAUAAAUAUUUACCACAAUAACAAAGAAGGAUGGAAGGAAGGGAGAAAAAAAAUGACAAAGGAUGACCAGAGAUUCUGGCUGAAGGCUGAGAUGGGACAAAACAAAACUGUUUCAUGUAUGCACUCCCCUCCAAGUCAGGCUGCUUGGGGUGGGGGGCUGUUUGCUCCUUCAUGGCUAGUGAGGCUAGUCUGUGGUUGCUGCAACAGCCCCCCAGCAGCAGGAGGAAAGAAACAAACUCUGGCUUGAGCCGCGGUGGGGCCUGGGCAGAAGCAAUGAGGGUGAGGUGGUGACUGGGGAGGGGUCAGUGGAACCCAAGUGCACUGGGAGAAAAGGGUGAUGGGAGGGCCUGGGUAGGGAAGGGGUUCAGACCAGACUUAGGAGAGAGGUGAGAUUGGAGAAGACUCAGAUCAGGGGGGCGGGGAGGAGGGUGGGGAGAGGAGAAGGGUUGCAGUGUUAAAUGGUUAAAUCCUGAGGACAAGUGUCAGACUUGCAGGAGGUGAGGGGAAGCCUGGAACUACCUGAAGUAGAGCAUUGUCAGAGGGCAGCAAGUUCACCAGCCAGAAUGGCGCAAUAACAGCAGGGAGGGGUCCAGGAGGAGGUGAGAGCAGGAGGUAAAGGGGAGGCCACCUCUCCUGGUCCUUCAUGGGCCACUUGUGAGGACUUUGACAUUUACCUUGAGCUAGAUUGGAGCCAUGGGAGGGUGUCGAGCAGGGACAGGACCUGACCUGACUUAGGUUUCACAAGAUCCCCCUGACUGAGACGAUUUUUGCCAGAACAAUUUCCUAUUUGCACACUUCCCACUGAUACCCAGAAAAGUUACUAACAACAGGUCUCUAUAGGCCUAUGUGUAUGCACAGGCCUAGGAGACCGAACAGAAUGUCUUCUUAUGGCCCGUGGCUGGGAGCCCUUAGAUGGCUCUCGUGACAUGCCAGGUACCAUGCUGACCACUUUACAUAUUUAAACUCAUUUAAUUUUCAUGACCAUCUGACCAGCAGGUAAUAGUGCCAUCUCCAUUUUACACAUGAGGGAACUGAGGCUCAGGGAGCUCCUAAGCUCUGCACCACCCUGCCUUUCCAAGGAAACAGGACUCCUGGACCUGUCAGUCCCCGAAUUCACAUGUUUCUGCAUUCUCCUCACUGUCCCCACCCUUCAUAUAUCUAGAGGUAGGAGCAAUUUGAAUUCCUUUCUCUGAUGGUAGAUCACGCUUGAAAGAAGGAGGCCCCCCCUGAACCACAUCCCUUUCUGCAGGGCUGGGGUCUGAGCUGUUUAUUACAAACUGAUGCUCGCUUUCAUUUCCUGCCUGGGCUAGAUGGACACAGUUGGAGACAGAACUGGGAGGCGCCGGUGGGGGCAGGGCCGAUGGCUGCCUCGCUCCCAGAUCCUGCCGGGAGAGGCAGGCUGCAGAGAGCAAGGAGGCAGCCAGGCCGUGCCUGGGGAUCAGUGGCUUUGGCAGUAGGGAAACCAGUCACGGUCUUAAAGGUGGAAUGAGGCUGGCUGGUUUUCAGGGUCCUGUUUGGGUGAAAGAGGAUGGUCAGGAGAGGGAAGCAGAAGCUGUACUACCUGAGUAAAGUGGCUCUGCUCGUGAGCACCCGUGUUCUCCAUCCUCCCAUUGCGUUUCAUCCAGAGACCCUCCUCUCUCGCAGCCCAACUCUGCCUCCCUCCUCCCCCAGGGCCACCCCUCAGGAACUGGACCCUAUGCAUUCAUUCAUGCACUCUAUAGUCAACACACACCUUCUCAUGCCCCUUCUGUACAGGGUAUGGUGCUAGGUGCAUUUCAUAUGCUAUCCCAUUUAAUCCCCAUAGCAACCUGUAAGGUAGGAUUAUUAUACCCAUUUUACAGAUAGGGAAAUGGAGGCUUGGAGAGUGAAGUGACAUGGGCUGAUGGUGGGACCAGAAUUCAAACCCAAGUGUGCCACACUCCAAAGACUCUGCCCUUUCUACAAAUCAUUCAUUCAUUUGACAAAUAUUUUUGACCCCUUACACAUACACCAGGGUCCCUGGGUGGUACAAAGAGUUAACACACUUGGCUGCUCACCAAAAGGUUGGAGGUUAAAGCCCACGCAGAAACAGCUCAGAAGAAAGGCUUGGUGAUCCUUUUGCAAAUGAUCAGCCAUUGAAAACCCUAAGGAGCAGAGUUCUACUCUGACGCAUCUGGGUUUGCCAUGAGUCAGAAGUGACUCGCUGGCAACUGCUUAUGGUCACAUACGAGCCAGCUACUGUGCUAGGCGCUGGAGAUAAAGAAAUCAAAUCACCAUGGUGCCUGUCCUCAUGGACCUCAAAUUCCAGGGGAAAAACAGAUGUCCCCCGCUGCCCACCCAAAGUAAACACAUUGUUGUUGUCGUUAGGUGCCACCAAGUCAGUUCCAACUCAUAGCAACCCUACGUACAGCAGAAUGAAACCCUGCUCCUUGUUCACCUGUCACAUACAUAGGAGGCAAGUGAAAAUACCAUGGCUUGAGUCAGGUGCACCUUAGUCUUCAAGGUGACAUCUUUGCUUUUCAACACUUUAAAGAGGUCCUUUGCAGCAGAUUUGCCCCGUGCAACGCAUCUCUUGGUUUGACUGCUGCUUCCUUGGGUGUUGAUUGUGGAUCCAAGUAAAAUGAAAUCCUUGACAAUUUCAAUAUUUUCUCAAUUUGUCAUGUUAUUAAGGAGCCCUGAUGGUGCAGUGGUUAAGUGCUUGGCUACUAACCAAAAGGUUAGACAUCAACAAGCACUUCCGGGGAGAAAGAUUUGGCAGUUGGCUUCCACGAAGAUUACAGCCUUGGAAACCCCAUGAUGCAGUUCUGUAGUGCUGCUAUAAAUUGCAGUUGACUCAAGGGCAAUGGGAUUUUGGUUUUGGAUCAUGUUAUUGUUUUUUGAUCCAGUUACGAGGAUUUUUGUUUUCUUUAAGUUGACAUGCAAUCCAUACUGAAGGCAGCAGUCUUUGAUCUUCAUCAGUAAGUGCUUCAAGUCCUCUUCAAAUUCAGCAAGCAAGAUUGUAUUAUCUACAUAAAGCAGGUUGUCAAUGAGUCUUCCUCCAGUCCUGACACCAUGUUCUUCCUGUAGUCCAGCUUCUUGAAUUACUUGCUCAGCAUACAGAUUGAAUAAAUAUGGUGAAAGGAUACAGCCCCGAUGCACACCUUUCCUGAUUUUAAACCACGCAGUAUCCCCUUGUUCUGUUCCAAUGACUGCCUCUUGGUUUAUGUACAGGUUCCUCAUGAGCACAAUUAGGUGUUCUGAAAUUCCCAUUCUUCACAAUGUUAUCCGUAAUUUGUUACGAUCCACACAGUCGAAUGCCUUUGCAUAGUCAAUAAAACACAGGCAAACAUCUUUCUGAUAUUCUCUGCUUUCAGCCAGGAUCCAUCUGACAUCAGCAAUGGUAUCCCUCGUUCCACAUGCUCUUCUGAAUCUGGCUUGAAUUUCUGGCAGUUCCCUGUUAUU
Molecule: long non-coding RNA, 8067 nt
Organism: Loxodonta africana (African savanna elephant)
Lineage: Eukaryota; Metazoa; Chordata; Mammalia; Proboscidea; Elephantidae
Exons: 3
Source: RefSeq, a predicted model, not a curated record